GGCACAAGACAACUAGUCUCCUCUCUUUUGGAACGGAAACACGGCGCUCUCUACGAUUCUCUUUAUUUGAGUCAUAGGAAAGCCGUACUAUUAAGAGGGGAUCCGUAGUGGAAAGGUUUGGAUGGAAUCUAUCUUUACACACGCACUCAUCACAAUUCUCCCCUUCUGUGUUUGGAGCGGCCCUCGCCUACUUCGUCUUGAGCUUCUCUGCAAAAAUGGUCCCCAGCGGUAGUACCGCUGGUGUCCGCGGUAGUACCGCUGGACUGCC
This 268-nucleotide long non-coding RNA is filed under the name Hordeum vulgare. RNAcentral's name for it is "long non-coding RNA (HVUL_LNC004526)". The record is from RNAcentral. Lineage: Eukaryota; Viridiplantae; Streptophyta; Magnoliopsida; Poales; Poaceae.